Sander lucioperca (pikeperch) is the source of this 122-nucleotide long non-coding RNA. RefSeq lists it as uncharacterized. Lineage: Eukaryota; Metazoa; Chordata; Actinopteri; Perciformes; Percidae. The transcript has 3 exons. The record is from RefSeq and is a predicted model, not a curated record.
CCUCUCUUCCAGAUCUACAGCCCCCCCCCUCUUUUGGCUUAAAAUAACUCACUGUUGUCGGCUACGGCCGCUGAACACGCUACACGCUGUAAACAGCCGUGGUCUGCAUGCCUGGUCCUACC